Molecule: non-coding RNA, 1602 nt
Organism: Jatropha curcas
Lineage: Eukaryota; Viridiplantae; Streptophyta; Magnoliopsida; Malpighiales; Euphorbiaceae
Source: RefSeq, a predicted model, not a curated record
UUUUACAAAUCCAACGCAUUAUUUCCUUAUUGGAUAUAAUUAGCUAUAAAAGUAAAUAAAAACUUGAUCUUUGCAGAAGUUGGUUAGAGUUUAUCAUUCAGUCAUCCAUGGCGAUAUUAUACAGAGUGAGAGGAGUACUUUCUAUCUUCAACACCAAACUAUAUGCUUCUAUUCGCGGCUUCUCUACAUCUCCACCCUUUUCGCAAUUUGAGAAUGUUGGAUUCAUUGGGCUGGGAAAUAUGGGAUCCAGAAUGGCAAACAAUCUAAUUAAGGCUGGGUACAAAGUGACUGUUCAUGACAUAAACCAUAAUGUCAUCAAGAUGUUUACUGACAUGGGAGUUCCAUCAAAGCAAACACCAUUUGAAGUUGCAGAAGCAAGUGAUGUUGUAAUUACAAUGUUGCCCUCAACAUCUCAUGUUUUGGAUGUCUACACUGGACCAAAUGGUUUGCUUUAUGGUGGAAAUAUCGUGAGGCCACGACUAUUGAUAAAUUCAUCUACCAUUGAUCCAGAAACAUCAAGAAAGCUUUCUGCAACUGUGUCUAACUUUGUUUUAACAGAGAAGAAAGACCAAUGGGAGAAACCUGUCAUGUUGGAUGCUCCUGUCUCCGGAGGUGUUCUUGCUGCAGAAGCAGGUACUCUCACUUUUAUGGUUGGUGGCUGCGAGGAAGCUUACCUUGCUGCCAAAUCCUUGUUUUUGUCCAUGGGCAAAAACAGUAUUUAUUGUGGUGGAGCUGGAACUGGUUCAGCAGCAAAAAUUUGCAACAAUUUGGCGAUGGCUGUGAGCAUGAUUGGAGUAUCGGAAGCCCUUGCUCUUGGUCAGUCACUUGGCAUUCGUGCUGACCCUCUAUCAAAGGUUUUUAACUCUUCAACUGCUCGAUGUUGGAGUAGGGCUGAAAAUGGGGUCCUUUUUAUGUGUGAGUUGAACAUGCAGAUAUCAGUUCUCUAUGAUAUGCAGAAAGCAAGAAUGACAUUUCUCUCCCAUGUUGAGCUCUGCUGAUGUUGAGUCUUGCACUCUAACCUUCUGUUUUUAUUAAACCUCCAAUAUGGCAGUGAUAGUUAUAACCCAGUUCCUGGAGUAAUGCAAGGGGUUCCUGCUUCUAGGGAUUAUACUGGUGGAUUUUCAUCUAAGCUCAUGGCUAAAGACUUGAACCUUGUUGCCGCAUCGGCCAAACUGACUGGUCUUAAAUGCCCUCUGACAUCCCAAGCAUUAGAGAUAUACACUGAGCUCUGCGAGGAUGGUCACGAAAUGAAGGAUUUCUCCUGUGUUUUUCGCCAUUAUUACUUUGGCAAGGAUGAGAAGUAGCUUCAUAAAUGCGAGGUAUUGAUUAUGGGGGAAAGGAAAGAUGGAGCAAACUCAUUCUACUUUGAGGUGGGGAUCAAAAACAACGUUAGAAAAGUGCAUGAUGUCCGUAAAAGGAUCGAACUCAAAUUUAGGCUUGAUACAAGCUCGAGUUUAAGCUCGUAUUUAGGCUCAUUAAGAGCUCGAUACAAACUCGAAUUUGAACUCAAUAAUAGCUAAUCAAUAAACUUUUUUGCUUAAUACUAUUUUAAUAACUAUUUUUAUUAUCAAAAAAUAUUGCUUUCAAUUAGAAACACAACAA